AACGAACGCUGGCGGCAUGCCUAACACAUGCAAGUCGAACGAGACCUUCGGGUCUAGUGGCGCACGGGUGCGUAACGUGUGGGAACCUGCCCUUAGGUUCGGAAUAACUCCCCGAAAGGGGUGCUAAUACCGGAUAAUGUCUUCGGACCAAAGAUUUAUCGCCUUUGGAUGGGCCCGCGUUGGAUUAGCUAGUUGGUAGGGUAAAAGCCUACCAAGGCGACGAUCCAUAGCUGGUCUGAGAGGAUGAUCAGCCACACUGGGACUGAGACACGGCCCAGACUCCUACGGGAGGCAGCAGUGGGGAAUAUUGGACAAUGGGCGAAAGCCUGAUCCAGCAAUGCCGCGUGAGUGAUGAAGGCCUUAGGGUUGUAAAGCUCUUUUACCCGGGAUGAUAAUGACAGUACCGGGAGAAUAAGCGCCGGCUAACUCCGU
This 432-nucleotide ribosomal RNA is filed under the name uncultured bacterium. RNAcentral describes it as "partial 16S ribosomal RNA". It matches the Rfam family "Bacterial small subunit ribosomal RNA", at positions 29 to 506 of the family's 1533-position model. The record is from RNAcentral.